This is a non-coding RNA of Arachis ipaensis, 470 nucleotides long. Lineage: Eukaryota; Viridiplantae; Streptophyta; Magnoliopsida; Fabales; Fabaceae. The record is from RefSeq and is a predicted model, not a curated record.
AUUCUACCAUAAAUUUUUUAUUGCAAAAUACAACAAAGAGAGACUUAUAUGGCCAGAAACGGUGUGACACGAGCAACUACAAUGUUGAUAAUUGGAAUGUUUAUAUGUUUUGCCAUUGCUGAAUUUCAUAACACUAUUCUUGAAGAGCCUUUGUCUCCGUUAAAUUAUUAUAUUGCAACAGCUGAUGAAGAGUUAGCAAAGUGUAUUGCUGAAUGCAAUAGACGUUUUUUGCCUGGUACAAUGAACAGCGACAAUUGCAUUAGGAAAUGCCAUGCUAAACAUAAGUUCGGAAAAUAAAGUUUAACAAUGGGAUACCAUUUUGAAUUUCAAAUGGAAAAGAGGGAAGAUGUGAAAGACAUUAAUUUUGGAUGUGUGUUUCUAUAAUAAUUAACUGGUCCCAUUAAAUAUUGCCUGAGCAAUAAUUGAUCAGUGUUUGUUUACUUAAUUGCACUAUUUCUAAAAAGGGUUAA